UGGGGUGUCGCCAAGCGGUAAGGCACGGGACUUUGACUCCCGCAUUCGUAGGUUCAAAUCCUGCCACCCCAGCCA
Molecule: transfer RNA, 75 nt
Filed under: bacterium
Lineage: Bacteria
Also listed under: 8 other names
Description: tRNA-Gln
Rfam family: tRNA
About the family: Transfer RNA (tRNA) molecules are approximately 80 nucleotides in length.
Source: RNAcentral